Molecule: ribosomal RNA, 570 nt
Filed under: uncultured bacterium
Lineage: Bacteria
Description: bacterial SSU rRNA
Rfam family: Bacterial small subunit ribosomal RNA
Source: RNAcentral
AGAGUUUGAUCCUGGCUCAGAACGAACGCUGGCGGCAUGCCUAACACAUGCAAGUCGGACGCUUUUGGGGGUUUCGGCCUCCAAAGGAGUGGCGGACGGGUGAGUAGCGCGUGGGAACCUGCCCUCUUGUGGGGGAUAACCGAGGGAAACUUCGGCUAAUACCGCAUGCGCCCCGGAGCGAUCCGGGGGAAAGAUUUAUCGCAGGAGGAGGGGCCCGCGUCGGAUUAGGUAGUUGGUGGGGUAACGGCCUACCAAGCCUGUGAUCCGUAGCUGGUCUGAGAGGAUGAUCAGCCACACUGGGACUGAGACACGGCCCAGACUCCUACGGGAGGCAGCAGUGGGGAAUAUUGGACAAUGGGCGCAAGCCUGAUCCAGCAAUGCCGCGUGAGUGAUGAAGGCCUUAGGGUUGUAAAGCUCUUUCGGCGGGGACGAUGAUGACGGUACCCGCAGAAGAAGCCCCGGCUAACUUCGUGCCAGCAGCCGCGGUAAUACGAAGGGGGCGAGCGUUGUUCGGAUUUACUGGGCGUAAAGGGCGCGUAGGCGGCGGGUCAAGUCGAGUGUGAAAGCCCC